AUAUAAUUAUCCAUACACAACUAGGUAAAUUAUUCUUAAUAUGAAUACAAAAUCAUAGCUCAUUCUUUAUAGAACCGGUAAACUAGUGCCAUACUGCACAAAAAAGUAAACCACUGUGUUCCAAGUCCACGUGCUCUGUUCAUUAGAAGUGUUUUUAUUGUAGCAUGUGGACGGUCAUUCCGCUCUAUGACCGGUAGGGGGCAGCAAGGUACUGUUUAUUAUAAAGCCUAGAUUAAGACUUUACUACUCUGAUAAACAGGACUAUUUACACUGACUGUAAUGGCAAUGGCUCUGUGAUUGCAAACUGUACCAUCGUGUUCCAGACUGUGUAUAUAAACGCUGUUUUGGUCAAGAGUCUUUUCGGCUUUAAACUCCCAGCCAACAACAUGAUCAAUGGCCUUAACAUCAGCCGUGAAUACACACAAGGUAAGUGUCAACUGGGUGAACUACUAUAGGAAAAAAAAAAUCUUGUAACAUCACAAAUAAUAAAAUAAUAACACCAAUCUUUCCACAGAUAAGGUCACACCUGUACCAGCUGCAGUACCAACCACCACCACACCUCUCCCGACCACAACCCGUACCACCAGACCAGCAACCACAACAACCACCCAAAAUACAACCACAGCGACUUCAAAACCCCCCAACAACACCACAACCUCUUCAGCUCCAUCCAGCACAACCACAGCCCACCCUAACACCACCACAACCACACAGCCUGCAUCAAACUCCAUCACCAGUCCCACAAUACCCAACAAUACCACAAAACCCUUUUCCAACACAACCACAAGCCACACAUCAAUCACCAGCCCCAGCACACCCAACAACACUUCCAAAACUACUAUCACCAGUUCCAGCACACUCAGGAAUACCACCACCCCCACACCCACCUCCAACUCCACAUUCAACUCCACUACUAAAACCAGAAAAACCGAAGCCGUUAGAAUUCCCACCACCGCUUCUCCAGUGAGUCCAGGUGGGGCUUACUACUAUAGAGGAGUCCCAGGCUGGGCCAUUGCUUUACUUGUACUGGCCUGCAUCAUCCUCCUGCUCCUCAUCAUCCUCCUCAUCAUCACGCUCAUCCGAUGUUGCUGUUGGGAUCCAGAGAGAGACCCAGAGCCAGAACCUUUACCCCCACUACCAGAGCAGCACACACCUUAUGAGAGAAAAACUUUCAAAGAACCACUUUCUACCCCCAGCUACAGCCCCCAGACCCCACAAAAGAGCCCCAUCCCCGCAUCUCCAUAUGAGGAUCCAACAAAGCCUAGAGUGAACCGAACAGGGAUGUAUGUGGUGAACCCAGAGAGCUGAUGAAGAACAGCAGCACCACAUGGUGAGAGAUUCCUGUGGAUUGUAAAAACAUUGUGGAUGCCCGUUACUCUUUGACACAUCCUUCCAAACACCACUGCCCCAGGGCAAUGAAAAAGGGACUUCACGUGGAACUGUGAGAAAAAACGUGCAAACCCUUUGGAGCUAUAUGGAGUUCUGCAGCAAUGAUUCCUAAAAUGUAACCUGAUUUUUUUUUGUUAACCAAACACUUGUGUAUUUAAAUUGUGUAAUUAGUCAAGGCUAUUGAUGGAAAAGUAUUUAAACUUAUUUUUUUUAAUUAACCAAUUGUUCUCCAUAGUCUCUGCAGAAAUGUCUAAUGCUCUAAUAUUUUACUCUGUAACACUACCUCCACCAUGUUUCACGGCUUAGUGUGCAGGAUUUAUUUUUUCAUAUGUAACAGUAAACAAUUAGCACAAGUUCAACUUCUGUUUAAUCCAUAUGAAGAACACUGUCCCUGAUAAGCAUCCAGGUAAUUCUUAGUAAACUUAGUAAAAAUACUCUUCUGAAAUUGUUUAGCUGUUGGAAAUGUCUAUUUAUGCGACAGAUCAUUUAAAACACACUUGAAUUAAUCUGGAUACUCAGUUUGAUUUGUAUUUUCAAUCUGUGAAAUGCGACUGCAAUUACUUUUGGUGAAGAUCAGAUUUUAGGAGUCAUUUAUGCAGCAAUGGAAAGAGGUUUGAGUUUGAUGUGUAAGUUUUGUAUUAUUAAAAGAUGGUUUAUACUAUUUAUUACUAAAGUAUUUGAUACGUGAAAACAUCCAAAAACAUUUUAUCCCAAUUGUGAACACUGAUUCCAAAUAAUCAAAUCACGUAAAUUAAUUGAGCCCAUUAAAGUCACAUGACUUCUUCUGUAAAUGUGUUUAGGUUAAAAUUAAAGACAAAACUUGUUUGGACCUGCUAAUGUAUGAAAUUUUAUUAAAGUAUUUAAAUUAAUAUUAAACGUGUUGGACAUGAAGGACAAAGUGCUGUAAGGAACUUCCCACAUGUUUUAAACAGGGUACACUGACAUUUA
RNAcentral lists this long non-coding RNA (2337 nucleotides) under Astyanax mexicanus (Mexican tetra). RNAcentral describes it as "lncRNA (ENSAMXG00005015182.1)". Lineage: Eukaryota; Metazoa; Chordata; Actinopteri; Characiformes; Acestrorhamphidae. The record is from RNAcentral.